Molecule: long non-coding RNA, 245 nt
Filed under: Gossypium raimondii (Peruvian cotton)
Lineage: Eukaryota; Viridiplantae; Streptophyta; Magnoliopsida; Malvales; Malvaceae
Description: long non-coding RNA (GRAI_LNC004526)
Source: RNAcentral
UUAAUUUUAUUUUUUUAAUCUUGAAAAUAAUUUUGAUAAUUUUAUGAAGCUUUUAGACAUUUCAUUUCAAUAAAUUUAUCAAAAUAUUUUCAAAAAGAAGAGAGACAAAAAAGAUUCAUAAAUAUUUAGAUCAAAAAAGAAGAAGAAGUUGGUUUGUUUUCUCGAGAAAAUGGAGUCAAAUUCUUGGAGCUUUCGUUUCUCCAAUUCUUCUUCUUCUUCUUCUUCUUCUUCUUCUUCUUCUUCUU